Long non-coding RNA from Dioscorea cayenensis subsp. rotundata (Guinea yam), 877 nucleotides. RefSeq lists it as uncharacterized. The record is from RefSeq and is a predicted model, not a curated record. Lineage: Eukaryota; Viridiplantae; Streptophyta; Magnoliopsida; Dioscoreales; Dioscoreaceae. The transcript has 2 exons.
UUAGCCUUGGUCCUUGGAAGCCUCCCAGCCCUCCCCGCACAGCCGCACUUGGCUUCAACAGCAGCGCCGUUUCCCUCUUCUUGAAUGGCUGAAAUGUGUUUCCGACUCCGACCUCGAUCUCUUCAUCAUCACCGAUCGAUCUGGCCGCCGCCGCGAUGGAUGCCUUUCCUUCGCCACCGACGAGCUCCCCGUCCUCUCUGGCAAGAUUCCAUUGCAAGCCUUUGAAGCCUUCUUCGCAAGCUUACGCGAUUCCUUCUCUGAUCUCUUCGGUUCCGUCAUCACGGAUGUGAUGAUCGGUCUAGGACCGGACGGUGAGCUUCGGUACCCAUCGAUCUCAGUGAAGGAUACUAUAUAGAUCGAAGACAGUUGGCGUCGCGUCCAAGGUGUUUGACGUUUUUCCUGUGAGAAUCUCCGGGAAGAUCGCUCUCAUGGAUGCGUGGCACUGAAGCUGCGCGCGCCCGGCGGAGCUCACUGCAGGGUACCGUGACUAUGACACGAUCGCGCGAAUGUUCACGAAGAACUCGUGCGGCGUUGUGGUGCCGGGAAUGGGAUCCGGAGAGGGCCAGGUGGGAGCUUCUUGUUGUUGAUUUCAUGGUUGUUAAUGGUGAUUGAGGGUUUGAAGAGGAGGAGGAUGAGAGUGAGGAUGAAGAAGUUGGUGAUGAGAAUGAAGAGCCAGAACUCCAUUGUUGCUGCUGCUUUUUCUUCUUCUUGUUGUUGGCAUGGCUUUUCUUUGAUUAUUAUUUAGAGUUCAUCCCCAUGGCUUUUUCUUCUUGUUGUUGUUGGCAUGGCUUUACACUCUAAAUGACUCAAUUGGAAUGUUUAUGUAUGAAUUUUGUUUAAUUCAUCGCGUUGGACCGUUGGUAUUGGUUUUUCUCAA